This 146-nucleotide non-coding RNA is filed under the name uncultured Prevotella sp. Its description in RNAcentral is "FMN riboswitch (RFN element)". It matches the Rfam family "FMN riboswitch aptamer (RFN element)". From Rfam's summary of the family: The RFN element is a highly conserved domain that is found frequently in the 5'-untranslated regions of prokaryotic mRNAs that encode for flavin mononucleotide (FMN) biosynthesis and transport proteins. This element is a metabolite-dependent riboswitch that directly binds FMN in the absence of proteins. Lineage: Bacteria; Pseudomonadati; Bacteroidota; Bacteroidia; Bacteroidales; Prevotellaceae. The record is from RNAcentral.
CUCUUCAGGGCAGGGUGAAAUUCCCGAUCGGCGGUAAAGUCCGCAAGCCACUUUCAUGUACAAUGUACCAUUUACUAUGUACUAUUUUAGAGGCACGAACCGUUGCAAUCACGGUACCGACAGUAUAGUCUGGAUGGAAGAAGACU